Molecule: long non-coding RNA, 625 nt
Organism: Malaclemys terrapin pileata
Lineage: Eukaryota; Metazoa; Chordata; Testudines; Emydidae
Exons: 2
Source: RefSeq, a predicted model, not a curated record
CAGAAGUGCCUAAAGGCUCCCGCCAUGAUUGUGCUCUCCAAAUACAUGGUAAAAGACAUUACUGUUCAAUCUCAGAAUAGAAGACAGUUUCUGAUCUGAAGGUCUUACAAUCUAUAAGAGAAGACACAAGUGGGUAAUAUUGGAGCGUUUGCAUUGCAAGCUUCUGGAACUGUGUAAAUCACCAGACAGGAGACAGACAUGAACUAGUGUGAAAUGCUGGUCUCCAACAGAAAGUGUUAUGUCCUGCCCAACAAGGAAGGCCCAUCAGCACCAGAUAGAGAAGAACAUUAAAGAAGAAACAUUUUGAGUCUUACAAGUGAAUUCUUCCCAUCAGCUGAUUUGCAGCUCAAAGUGCAAAGGGGAAGGGAAUAAAAACCCCUAACAAUAAGUGGAUUUCUAUGCUGCUUGGACUCUGAGGGGCAAGGUUUUCUAGGCAUAGGCAAGAGAAGCCAGUGCUGAGCCUGGGUUAGCCCUAAAGGACAUAUCGAGCUUGCUUAUUAUGAAACCUUCUAUAAUGUUGAAAUUGAAGAUUGUAAUUCAUUUGUGUACAUAUGCUUACUGGUUUUAAACUUGUAACUAACACUCUUAUUUCCUUUUCCUAUGAAUAAAACAAUAUAGUUUAUUA